This 505-nucleotide ribosomal RNA is filed under the name uncultured bacterium. RNAcentral's name for it is "partial 16S ribosomal RNA". It matches the Rfam family "Bacterial small subunit ribosomal RNA", at positions 30 to 523 of the family's 1533-position model. The record is from RNAcentral.
AUUGAACGCUGGCGGCAGGCCUAACACAUGCAAGUCGAACGGUAACAGGAAGAAGCUUGCUUCUUUGCUGACGAGUGGCGGACGGGUGAGUAAUGUCUGGGAAACUGCCUGAUGGAGGGGGAUAACUACUGGAAACGGUAGCUAAUACCGCAUAACGUCGCAAGACCAAAGAGGGGGACCUUCGGGCCUCUUGCCAUCGGAGGUGCCCAGAUGGGAUUAGCUGGUUGGUGGGGUAACGGCUCACCAAGGCGACGAUCCCUCGCUGGUCUGAGGGGAUGACCAGCCAAACUGGAACUGAGGCACGGUCCAGGCUCCUACGGGAGGCAGCAGUGGGGAAUAUUGCACAAUGGGCGCAAGCCUGAUGCAGCCAUGCCGCGUGUAUGAAGGAGGCCUCGGGUUGUAAAGUACUUUCAGCGGGGAGGAAGGGAGUAAAGUUAAUACCUUUGCUCAUUGACGUUACCCGCAGAAGAAGCACCGGCUAACUCCGUGCCAGCCGCCGCAGUAA